RNAcentral lists this ribosomal RNA (1165 nucleotides) under Nosema sp. ICP-2002-1. RNAcentral's name for it is "bacterial SSU rRNA". It matches the Rfam family "Microsporidia small subunit ribosomal RNA". Lineage: Eukaryota; Fungi; Microsporidia; Nosematidae. The record is from RNAcentral.
GUAGACGCUAUACUCUAAGAUUAACCCAUGCAUGUUUAUUGAAUAUAAAGAAAAGACGAACAGCUCAGUAACUCUUAUUUAAUUCGAUGUAUUAGGAUUCUAACUAUGUUAAAUUAUAGGUAACAAUAAUACAAUAAGAAUAAGAUCUAUCAGUUAGUUGUUAAGGUAAUGGCUUAACAAGACUAUGACGGAUAACGGUAUUACUUUGUAAUAUUCCGGAGAAGGAGCCUGAGAGAUUGCUACUAAGUCUAAGGAUUGCAGCAGGGGCGAAACUUGACCUAUGAUAUUAUAUUGAGGCAGUUAUGAGUAGUAUUUUAUAAUUAUUGUAGUAUUGUAAGUACAUAUUACAAGAUAAAUCGGAGGGCAAAUCGAGUGCCAGCAGCCGCGGUAAUACUUGUUCCGAUAGUGUGUAUGAUGAUUGAUGCAGUUAAAAAGUCUGUAGUUUAUUUUAUAAUAAGCAUUGUAAGGUAUACUGUAUGGUUAGGAGAGAGAUGAAAUGUGAUAACCCUAACUGGAUGAACAGAAGCGAAAGCUGUAUACUUAAAUGUAUUAUUAGAACAAGGACGUAAGCUAGAGGAUCGAAGAUGAUUAGAUACCACUGUAGUUCUAGCAGUAAACUAUGUUGAAUCAUAGAUAUAUUUUGAUAUAUAUUUAUGUAGAGAAAUUAAGAUUAUAUUGACUCUGGGGAUAGUAUGAUCGCAAGAUUGAAAAUUAAAGAAAUUGACGGAAGAAUACCACAAGGAGUGGAUUGUGCGGCUUAAUUUGACUCAACGCGGGGUAAUUUACCAGGUAUAACAUGAUAUAAUAUUUUAUCAUGAUAGUGGUGCAUGGCCGUUUCCAAUGGAUGCUGUGAAGUAAUGAUUAAUUUCAACAAGAUGUGAGACCCUCAUUUAGACAGAUGUAGUGAUACAUAUGAAGGAGAGGAUUAAAACAGGUCCGUUAUGCCCUAAGAUAAUCUGGGUUGCACGCGCAAUACAAUAAUAUUUGAUAUUGUAAGGGAUAAUAUAAUGUAAGAUAUAUUUGAACAUGGAAUUGCUAGUAAAUUUUAUUUAAUAAGUAGAAUUGAAUGAGUCCCUGUUCUUUGUACACACCGCCCGUCGCUAUCUAAGAUGGUAUUAUCUAUGAACAAAUUUAUAAAGUGAAUAGAUAGUACUAGAUCUGAUAU